Molecule: ribosomal RNA, 496 nt
Filed under: uncultured bacterium
Lineage: Bacteria
Description: partial 16S ribosomal RNA
Rfam family: Bacterial small subunit ribosomal RNA
Source: RNAcentral
GAUGAACGCUGGCGGCGUGCCUAAUACAUGCAAGUCGAGCGAACAGAUGAGGAGCUUGCUCCUCUGACGUUAGCGGCGGACGGGUGAGUAACACGUGGAUAACCUACCUAUAAGACUGGGAUAACUUCGGGAAACCGGAGCUAAUACCGGAUAAUAUACUGAACCGCAUGGUUCAAUAGUGAAAGACGGUUUUGCUGUCACUUAUAGAUGGAUCCGCGCCGCAUUAGCUAGUUGGUAAGGUAACGGCUUACCAAGGCAACGAUGCGUAGCCGACCUGAGAGGGUGAUCGGCCACACUGGAACUGAGACACGGUCCAGACUCCUACGGGAGGCAGCAGUAGGGAAUCUUCCGCAAUGGGCGAAAGCCUGACGGAGCAACGCCGCGUGAGUGAUGAAGGUCUUCGGAUCGUAAAACUCUGUUAUUAGGGAAGAACAAAUGUGUAAGUAACUAUGCACGUCUUGACGGUACCUAAGCAGAAAGCCACGGCUAACUACGU